RNAcentral lists this ribosomal RNA (159 nucleotides) under Triticum aestivum (bread wheat). RNAcentral describes it as "partial small subunit ribosomal RNA". Lineage: Eukaryota; Viridiplantae; Streptophyta; Magnoliopsida; Poales; Poaceae. The record is from RNAcentral.
UUUGAUCAGAAUAAAUAUAAAUUCUUUUCUUAUUUCUAUUUUAUGAUUGACCAAUAUAAACAUCAACAACUUCAAAUUGGACUAGUUUCCCCUCCGGUAGUGGCCAAAAUGGUUAUCAAUAGGGGUGAGGUAGUGUUUCCUUAUUCUUUUAUUAUAUGA